This 274-nucleotide ribosomal RNA is filed under the name uncultured bacterium. RNAcentral describes it as "partial 16S ribosomal RNA". It matches the Rfam family "Bacterial small subunit ribosomal RNA", at positions 523 to 796 of the family's 1533-position model. The record is from RNAcentral.
AUACGGAGGGUGCAAGCGUUACUCGGAAUUACUGGGCGUAAAGCGCGCGUAGGCGGUCUAUUAAGUCAGAUGUGAAAUCCCAGGGCUCAACCUUGGAACUGCAUCUGAUACUGGUAGACUAGAGUUUUGGAGAGGGAAGUAGAAUUUCAGGUGUAGCGGUGAAAUGCAUAGAGAUCUGAAGGAAUACCAGUGGCGAAGGCGACUUCCUGGCCAAAAACUGACGCUGAGGUGCGAAAGCGUGGGUAGCAAACGGGAUUAGAAACCCCGGUAGUCC